ACCAUGGGUCCCGUUUGUGCUCCAGCUGCAGCCAUCAAAGCCACGGCAGGGAGCAGGGCAGAAGAGUUGAGGGAAACCCCUGCAAUUCCUGCUGGCUCCAGCCACUGUGGGCUUGGGAUGAAGCGUGUGGCCCACUUCUCAAAGCUGGAGAUCUAUUUAUUGGGCUAGAGAAAGCACAAAUGGGAGGUUGAAAAGGAAUGAUAACUUGUUCUGAGUUUCUUGUCCCCUCCCUAUUAAAAGCAUGAGGGCAAAGGGAAAAGCAUUUCCAGAUUGUGCCUUCAUGGCCAAAUGGAAUUUCUGUGAGGUGAGGAUUUCUAAGUGGGAAUGAGGAAGGAAACAACCACCGACAGGAGAGCCCUGAGGAGAGGCCCUCUGUCAGGGACAUUAAAUCAGAGCCUUUGGGCAUGCUUGUGUCAAAUAGCUGGUCUCCAGUUCAAGGAGAAAACAUCGGUGACCCUGUGACAUUGUUCUUUUUUCACAGGAAACACAGGAGGAAAGUCCAAUGGCCCUGGAGCAGACACUUUCUCAGCUCUGGAGUAGUGAACCCAGGGUCCUUUGCCAUCAACUUUGACUGCGGUGAGGGUGGUCAGCAGGACUUUGACUCGUUGGCUUGUAGAGGAUCACUGUCCCACCACUCAACACAGACCCAGUUUCCAGGGAUGUGCAGGUGUGUCCAGUCCUAUGGGUCUGGAUAGCAUGAUGUAGUUCUGGUGCUUCUGCAAUGUGGAACCUAAAGCCAAAAGAUAUUUCCUCAAAUCAAGUUUCCCCUUCAUGUGAAUUUCACCUGGAGCAUGUGGAAUCUGGUAUGGUCUGCCAUACAGUAUUUCAUAGGGACUGAUGUUAUCCCUCCGCCUUGGUUGUAUGCGGAUUCUCAGUAAAGCUAUAGGCAAGGCCUAAACUCAUGGCAUGGAUGUUUCCUGACAAAUUUUGCUCAUUUCUGUUUUGAAAAUUCCAUUCAUAUGUUCAACUUGACCACUCACUUGGGGUCUAUAAGGUGUAUGCAGAUCUCAAGGAAUUCCUAAAACUUGGCUAGCUUCCUUAACUCCUGUUGCAACAAAGUGUGGUCCCCUACCUGAUGACGUCCCCAAAGAAACGCUGAACCUUGGAAUUAUAUGAUUGAGCAAAACUUUGACUUCCUUGGCUGUGUUAGUGUGACAGGGCUAAGCUUCUGGCCAUCCACUGAAGGUGUCAACUAAUACCAGUAUGGACUGAUAUCCCUCUUUCCAUGGUAACUCUGCAAAAUCUGUCAGUAAUCUCCAGGAAGAUCCCCUGCUUUUGUUACUCCUAACAUAACUCUUUCCCUCGUGUCAAGGUUGUUCUUACAACAGAUUUCACAUUUGCUCACUACUGAUUGUGCAAUGUCAGUCAUUCCCUUUCCUAUUACUACCUUUUUUAGGUGUUUUAGAAUAUUUUCAACCCCAAAAUGUCUAUUUUCAUGUUUCCUCUGGGCUAGCUUCCGAAGGAUCAGGGGUGAGACUACAACCUGAUUUGCUGGUGUGACAGCCCAUCUACUUUCUGUGAUCUCAGCCUUAAGAAACUUAAUUUGUAGUCUGCAUGGUCAUAUUUUGGAGUGAACUCUGACAAAUCAACCUCUUUUUGUGGAAUUACUGCAUGUCCCAGAUUGAAUAGCAAGAUGUUUUCUAUUGCCAUCUGUGUAGAAGUCGUCUUCUGUUAAGUGAGCAGUUUUCCUUGUCUCUGUCACAACCAAUCCUCUAUCAGGGGAGACAUCUGCUGAUAAUGGGCUAUUGAAUGUCACUGUGUGACUGAUAAGAAUUAUAACAUCCCAUUGGGAGAUGCUCCGCCCAGAGGGAGGAGCCAAGCAUUCCUAACUGGAUAUAAUCUGGGUUUUGGGGACAUCACAGUCAGCCUUCCCACAGGUUUCCAAGAGGAACAGCUGGGGUUUUCCACUGGACCUUCAGAGAAAGACUACACCCUUCUACAGGACCACUGCUCCAACAGAACCACAUCUGCCACUGCAGAAGGAUUGCAGCCACUCCAAUUUGGACUGCUACCAACAUGCUGGCCAAAAGGGUGUCAGGUUUAAUUCUGACUCUGCCAGUGGUUUUUAUUUUGUAUUAUUGCAUGUAUUUUGUUUCUUUUCGUUUUUCCUAAUAAAUUGUAUUUCUGACUUGGAGUCUCUCA
RNAcentral lists this long non-coding RNA (2142 nucleotides) under Chloebia gouldiae (Gouldian finch). RNAcentral's name for it is "Erythrura gouldiae (Gouldian finch) lncRNA (ENSEGOG00005012613.1)". The record is from RNAcentral. Lineage: Eukaryota; Metazoa; Chordata; Aves; Passeriformes; Passeridae.